Molecule: ribosomal RNA, 253 nt
Filed under: uncultured bacterium
Lineage: Bacteria
Description: partial 16S ribosomal RNA
Rfam family: Bacterial small subunit ribosomal RNA
Source: RNAcentral
UACGUAGGGGGCAAGCGUUGUCCGGAUUUAUUGGGCGUAAAGAGCGUGUAGGCGGCUUGGUAGGUCCGCUGUGAAAACUCGAGGCUCAACCUCGAGAUGUCGGCGGAAACCACUUGGCUAGAGUCCGGAAGAGGAGAGUGGAAUUCCCGGUGUAGCGGUGAAAUUCGUAGAUAUUCGCAAGAACACCAGUGGCGAAGGCGGCUCACUGGCCCGGUACUGACGCUGAGGUGCGAAAGCGUGGGGAGCAAACAGG